GAUGAAGAACGUAGCGAAAUGGGAUACUUGGUGUGAAUUGCAGAAUCCCGUGAACCAUCGAGUCUUUGAACGCAAGUUGCGCCCGAAGCCAUUAGGCCGAGGGCACGCCUGCCUGGGCGUCACACGUCGUUGCCCCCCCAUCUACUCCUUCGGGAUUGCGGGGGGCGGAUGAUGGCCUCCCGUGCGCCUUGUCGCGCGGUUGGCAUAAAUGCCAAGUCCUCGGCGACGCACGCCACGACAAUCGGUGGUUGCGAAACCUCGGUUGCCCGUCGUGUGCGGUCGUCGCGCAUCGAGGGCUCGAAAAAAUUGCCGGGCUCCGGCUCGGCUUUCAACGCGACCCCAGGUCAGGCGGGGUUACCCGCUGAAUUUAAGCAUAUCAAUAAGCGGAGGA
This 391-nucleotide unclassified non-coding RNA is filed under the name soil metagenome. Its description in RNAcentral is "partial contains 5.8S ribosomal RNA, internal transcribed spacer 2, and large subunit ribosomal RNA". The stretch from base 1 to 122 matches the Rfam family "5.8S ribosomal RNA", at positions 35 to 154 of the family's 154-position model. The record is from RNAcentral.